CCCGGCGCGGCCGCGGGAGGGAGCGGGGCCGGGCUCGCUCGGUGGCGGCGGCGGUGGAGACUCCCGGUGCCCCCCCCCGCGCUGAGCAGCGCAGGGACGGGGUUCCUCUGCUGCGGGCGCCCCCGGAAAGCUGUUCUUUAUCUACCGGAGUGAAAGUGAAAGCGCUGAGGAGGCUGGACACGCCGAGUGGGGGGUAUCACCAGCCUGCAUGUUUUACCUGUGGAAGGAGAAGAUGAAGUUCUAUCAAAGUAGGACUCACCCCUUCUUGGUCUGUAAUGUUAUCCCAAAAUAUUCACCCACUCCUGCUGCUGCAGGAGAAACAACAAAGCAAUGUUUGGGGCAGGGAGAGAGCGACAGUUCAGGAAGAGCUUGGGUGACGUGUCCGUGGCACUUCAGGGUGGGUAUUUGUGCAACUGCUACUUGUUUCUCCUCUAGGAGAUGAGCCUCAAGCCUGCCCACAUUCCCCUCGGCUUCACUUACUGGGGGGGGCUAUUCCUGUAACAGAUGAAGUCAGCACAACUCUGAAGUAAUGGCAUGAAUCAAAUCCAAGUCCCUCCUGGCUUUGCCAGUGCAAACCCUGGGGUUCCCUGCCUCUUCCUGGUACUGUCAGUGCUGCUUGUCCCUGCACAGGUGAGAGGUGCUGCAUAAGGAUCUUAGACAAAGCUUGGCUUUUCAGCCUUCUUAACCUUAGUAUGCAUUUAAUGCUAUUAACGGCAACAUCCUUCUUAAAUACUUAGUGCAGUUCCUGGAGGCUUUUCUUUUCCGACUUCAUUCCUGUUUAUCCAACUCUCCUUCCCAUGACUGGAAGCAAAAACUCCCCAGCAGGAAAAUCUUGCCCCUGUGCCACAUCCCCUUGGAUCCCAGCCCCAUGUUUGCUCCCUGCACACCCCGGCUGGCGGCCAAAACAGCCCCUCCAGCCAGGCCCGGCACCGUCCGGAGGAAAGUCCCUCAACGGUUCAGCCUGCGGCUGAACAGCAGGACAGGCUCCCUCUGGCUGGUCUCUCCUCCUCAAUGAAUGAAUGAAUGAAAAUAUUGGCCAGCGUUUCUGGUGGAGCUGCAUAUGCCAGGACAUCUAUUUAACACAGGCUGCAUCUUCCAGCCUAACUGAAACAAAGCACAGCCCUGCCGUAUCUGAGUCGUGGGAGCUCUCUCCAACCUCAAGAGCUUCACUGGGUUUGAGCCUGAAUUUCUUUCCCUGAACUUUGAGUUAUUCAGUAGCGGAUUUAGAGGUUUCCUGUAUUUCACAAAAGCAUUUCCUAACAAUUAAUGCUUCCAAGAAGCCAUCUGUUGACAUGUUGACAUUAAAAAAGUAUUUUCUUUUUCUUGUUCCCUUGGCCACAGUGAGUUAGUUCAUUUGGGAUUACAAUGGUAGCACAGUAGGACUUGGUUUGUCUUUUCCUUGCAUGAAAUUUUGUUGAAAGUGUGAAUUUUGUGUCUCAUUUGAAUGAGACAAAGUAAAAUCCAUUUUUAAAAUGAAAGUAUGUUAACAUUUUCUUCUCUUCCCCAGCCUCAAAGAUUUACAAAAUCUUGGCAGUUCAGUGGCUCCUGUAGAAAUGCUUAAAUUAAAGCCUUUUCAUCUCUAUACUGAGGCCAGUUUUCAGAGGAAACAUGACAUUUGUGUUCAUGCUCUCAGUGCCCAACUCGGCCUCCUCUCAGUGGCAGCAGGAUGCCCUGGCCAAUGCCAACCUCCUCUGCCGCAGAGAUGGAGGUCCUGCAACGGGCCAGUGCAGCGUGUGGCUGCCAGGCUGCAGAGACCUGAGAAGGAUCCAAAGUGGUCUCUAGCCCAGUGUCUGAGCUGGGUGAACCUGAAUGGAGUGAGGAGAUACAGCCGGGAGGAAGCUGUGCUGCGGGUGCCGGAUUUCCCAACGGUCAUGGGCAGGAUCAGCGUUCGGUGAGACAGAAAAGCGGGUUUCCUCCAUUUUUCACGACAUUUCUGUGCCGGCUGGGGCCAGGGCAGGGAUGAGAGUGCAGGGCAGUGCUCGGCGGGCACCGGCUGAGGGUGCAGCCCCGCCGUGGGGCACGGCUCGCCAUGCCCGCUCCGGGCUGCCCGCCCACACAACUCCCGCCGUGCCGUGUCGCGCCCGCACCGCAACUCCCGCCUUUCCGUGCCGUGCCGCGCCCGCCCGCACCGCAACUCCUGCCUUGCUGCGCCCGCCCGCACCACAAUUCCCGCCGUGUCGCG
Long non-coding RNA from Calidris pugnax (ruff), 2182 nucleotides. RefSeq lists it as uncharacterized. NCBI's taxonomy places the organism in Eukaryota, Metazoa, Chordata, Aves, Charadriiformes, Scolopacidae. The record is from RefSeq and is a predicted model, not a curated record. The transcript has 3 exons.